Molecule: long non-coding RNA, 2395 nt
Organism: Columba livia (rock pigeon)
Lineage: Eukaryota; Metazoa; Chordata; Aves; Columbiformes; Columbidae
Exons: 2
Source: RefSeq, a predicted model, not a curated record
ACUCUUGUGGUUUCAUAUGGUAGCGUCAGCAAGCUUAGCAGAAUGGAUGUAAAUACCAGCAUUCACGUCCAAGUGCCUUUGAAGCCCCUGAGACAGCCGCUGAUGGGUGGUGUCUCCUAUCUGCAGCUACCCCAGCAGAAGAGGUCACUGCACCAACUCGGGUGUCACUGACCCCGGGGGGAGGGAUGGGUCUCUGUCCUAAAACUUGCCCGCCCAGCUGCUGCCAACAGCACUCAGCACUGCGUACAGUCAAAUUAAAAGGACACUGACACCGCCCAGGGGACACAGCAGGGAGCAGAAGCCCCCCAGGCCACUAGGGCCACCUCUGCCCUGUGACCAGCAACAGUGGCAGCCAAUGCUCACUCUGGCGGGCCUCAGCACUGCCAACACGUGCUUCAAGGACAUUGUGCAUGUGCCCCUGUUUAACACGGCACGACUCCUGCGUCCUCCUAAAUCCUGGAUUUCUCCGGAGCUCCCUUCAAGGCCCCUGGGAGAAGCUGGCCUGACACCAAUCUGCCUGCAGGACCAUCUCCUUACCCUCCUACCCCCACCGCUACCCUGGUGCUUCCCACAGGCCACAAAAGCUUUGGGUCUCUGCAGAACAACUGUAAAGUCACAGGGAGAUUUCUGCAACAGAGCUGCUUGUGAUCUCUGUAAAACUUUUCUGGCCUUGCAAUGCUGCUGUCUGCAAUGGUGAUGUCCAAACAGUGGGACUGUUAGUACCUUCCCCCAUCUCCCUUCUCAAAUGCGUGUCUGCAUGGGGAAGUAAGUCAGAAGAGGCACUUUCUGUCCAAAUACUGUUAAGUGUUGCUUGUUGUUUUUGUUGUUUGUUUGGUUGGUUUUUUUAAGUUAACCACAAUAUUGGAACUUAGCCUUAAAUCCACUGUUUGUUAACAAUCAUAAUUUUAAAUCAACCACUUGCUAUUUUGAGAGCAAAGGCCACCUCCCAUUGUUGGACCACCCCGACUAGUUGCUAUACGGCAUUUUCAAUAUGUGAUACUUCUUGAGAAGUCCUGGGAAAGGCCAGCACUGUAUGUGUAGUUCCUCAGAUUCAAAUGCGCUGAAACCACACACAAAAUACGUACAGCAGACGUGCCGCAGAAGGCACAAUGCUCUCCUAUUUCCACAGCAGAAUCAAUAUUUUGCAAUCAAGCUAGUGUUAAAGCCUGAUUUAUGGCAGUUUUCAAAUGUAAAUAGAUGAAGCACAAGUAAAUAAAUAACAAUGCACACAUACCAUAAUAAACACACGUGCACAUUUUAGUAAGACAAUACUAAACCAGGGAUAAUGUCCUUAAGGAAAGGUUUUGGUGUUUACAGUUGACAUUUAAGCUUAUAAAUCUGUUUUACUGGAUACAAAGCAAUAGCACUCAAACGCUUUCUUCUUUUAUCAGUAAAGCUACAAAUCUGUACCUGUCCCUCUCUUUCUCACCACCGUGACAACUGCCUUCUGACUGCUCAGCAGGGAUUCCAAGCCAGCAAAACAAUGCAGCAAAUGAAAGCUCGGGCAGAACCGGACCACAUUUUCACUACCAAUGAAGAUACAACAAUGAUCACUGAGCCUGUAAACUUAAGCUACUAGCAAAAAAUUCUGAUUUAUUUGCGACAUGCCUGUAUUACUAACAACAGAGAGGAUGAUUUCAUCAGGAUGUGUUUGUCAUCAUCCUGAGAAGUCCAAAUCAUGAGAGAAAUGACCACAAAAAUAAUUCGUUCUGUUAUUUCAGAAGAAAACCUGUCCAUAAGUAUUUGCAUUUACUCAUCUAAAUGUAUUUCCCCUUUUAAAAGAUAAAUUUCAUAAGAGUAACAAAUGAUUUAUGACCUAAAGUGAAAUUUGACUCUAAAGGAAUGUACACGUACCAUCAUAGUAUCCAGAAGCUGUUAGGGCUGAGGCUAAGCCAGGUUUGGACUGUAGCCAACAAGGGCCAGAGACCAACUCUUAGAGCUGUAGUGAAAAAAAUCACUUGGCAAAGUAUAGGUCUAGAGUUGUCAAGGAUCACUGCACAAUAGCUAAAACAACCAACAUGGGGAUGAAUCCAGGAAAAAACAUUUAGGUGAACUUAGAUCUGGGGCUCCCAGAGAAACCAGAGCCAAGGGCUGCAUUAGGAUUUGAGCCAGCAAAGACUGGCAGGGCAGAAUUUGAGCACUGGGCUAGGGAAAGAGAGAGGUCUCUGAGAAUCAUCCACCUGGAUUUAAACUUAAGCCUGGUAGGAGUAAUUUUGUUAAGGCAAGGUGUUUGCAUGUCCACAGCCAGCUGGUGAAGUUUAGAGCUUGCACUAACUGGGAUACAGAAAGGGAGGUUCAGCUGUGGCAAUGAGAGGGGUCCCCAGGCCCCCCUUGCUUCCAAGAUGCUGAUUCUCUGCUCCGUAAAAAUACAUAAAUAAAACCCUGCAUCCCUGAA